GUCCACCCCCAACCCUCGGUAUCAGCAGCAAGAGAGGAAAUGGCAGCAACUCUUGCCAGCCUCAGCCUCACCUCCGCUGCCACCGUCGUCUCCGUCAACUCUGACUCUGUAAAGCUAGCCCUGCAGCCGGCUCACGGCGUCCACCUCCCAUGGAAGUCUGCGGCCGGAGUCGGCCGCAGGCUGGUAGCCGUGCGAAGCUCCCCAUCCACACCUUCGGGUAUAUCUGAACAGGUGUUGAAGAGCAUAAAGGAGGCCGAGGAGGUGUGUGCUGGCGAUGCAGAGAGCGGAGAGUGCGUGGCGGCGUGGGACGAGGUGGAGGAGCUCAGCGCGGCCGCCAGCCAUGCCCGUGAGAAGCUCAAGGCCAACUCCGACCCACUCGAGGCGUAUUGCCAGGAUAACCCCGAGACCAACGAGUGCCGCACUUACGAGGAUUGAGGGCGUUGAUGGUGAAUUGGUGAUGUAGGGUAUGUUUACGUAACUUUUGCAUGGAUGGGUGAAUUUCUGUUUAUUAGGUGGGUGCUUUUAUCUUGUGUAUUGAAUAGUGUUAUGGUUCUUGAAUAUUUGGUAGAAGG
Molecule: unclassified non-coding RNA, 572 nt
Filed under: Hevea brasiliensis (rubber tree)
Lineage: Eukaryota; Viridiplantae; Streptophyta; Magnoliopsida; Malpighiales; Euphorbiaceae
Source: RNAcentral